GCUGGGUAUGGUGGCGCAUGCCUGUAAUCCUAGUGGGUUGGGAAUCUGAGACAGGAGGAUCGCAGGUUCAAAGCCAGCACUAAGCAACUCAGUGAGUCCCUUUCUCUA
Molecule: small RNA, 108 nt
Filed under: Marmota monax (woodchuck)
Lineage: Eukaryota; Metazoa; Chordata; Mammalia; Rodentia; Sciuridae
Source: RNAcentral